Long non-coding RNA from Rosa rugosa (rugosa rose), 1293 nucleotides. RefSeq lists it as uncharacterized. The transcript has 11 exons. Lineage: Eukaryota; Viridiplantae; Streptophyta; Magnoliopsida; Rosales; Rosaceae. The record is from RefSeq and is a predicted model, not a curated record.
GAUGCCUGAGCUGCACAUUUAUUCAUGUUUCACUCAGAGGCAACGAAGUUAACAUUUUUGCCAAUACUUGUGGUGAAAAAGUUGCAGAGAAGUGGUGUGGCCUCACGAAUGAAUGGUUUAAGAAGGAAGAUUGGUGAUUAAUACAUGUAUGUUUACAUAUUUACUAUAUACUAAUUCUCAGUUAACUGUUCAUCGGCUUAUGAACAGUGCCGGCUCGAGCCGAGCCGAAUCUGGGAAAUGACGAUUUUGCCCCCGACACCUGUCUACCUGCUCAGAACUACGUGUCUUCUUCGCUCCACAGAGAGAUUGAGAUCGGAAGUGGCCCAAGUGGGAACAGCUGCAUGUUCAGUCCCAGAUUCAAAUCAACGGCGGCCGGUUGGGAUGAAGAGUCGAUCUGUUUUUAGGUCCAAGACUCCACCCACCAAUUCAUCAAGAAGAAAGCGGAGAGCUCAGCGAAAGAGCCCGGUUUCAAUCCCAGUGGUUGCUCUUGACCUUGAUAGUGAAGAAACUACAAAAGAAGAGUGAGAAAGACAAGGUAGAGCCUGAAAUUGUUGUUGUGAAUGAAGAAAAGAAAACAGGAGAAGAUGAGAAGAAAGGUGAGAGGUCUGGUGCUUCGUGCUCAAGCUCGAAUCUUCCUUGCAUGGAUAAGCUCAGGGAUGAGCUUUCUUGAGAGAAUUGAGGUUGGGUACUUGCAUGUGAGGAUUCUCAGCAACAUUGGAAUGGUUUCAAGGUGGAGAGAUUCCUCUUGAGAUCGGAAAUAUGGGCAGCUUGGAAGAUGUGAGCAACUGAUCUUACACUGAGGAGUUGUGUUUAUUUGAGAAGAUAAAAAUGACUGCAGUAUCCAAAGAAAUUGACUGAGUGCAUAUCAAUGGUCAGGAAAAUGCAGAGGAGGAGGAUAUGGAUAACAAUGAUGAUCUCGCUGGAGAUGCCAUUGAAAGUGAUGACAAGGAAGAACAGGUACCAGCGGAACGGCCUCGCAAAACAUCAAAAUUUAUAGCAUCAGUGCCCCUGUGAUGGUUGAGUUGGAGGGUGAGACUGACCCACUUAAGAUUGCUAUGAAAGAGCUUCGUGAGCGGAAGAUACCCUUUACCAUCCGCCACUACCUGCCUGAUAGAAGCCCUGAUGACAGAUUGUAGCCAUCCAUCAAAAAGUUCUCACACACCAAAGUUUGAUUUCGUGUGUAAUGAAAAUUAUGCUAUGUAAUGUUAUGAAAUCAACGAUAUUCUUAUGUACACAAACAGUUACUUUUCUAAACAAUCUCCACCAAUAUAUAAUAAUUGCUUUUCCCCAUUA